RNAcentral lists this ribosomal RNA (254 nucleotides) under uncultured bacterium. Its description in RNAcentral is "partial 16S ribosomal RNA". It matches the Rfam family "Bacterial small subunit ribosomal RNA", at positions 524 to 776 of the family's 1533-position model. The record is from RNAcentral.
UACGAAGGGGGCUAGCGUUGCUCGGAAUCACUGGGCGUAAAGCGCACGUAGGCGGGUCUUUAAGUCAGGGGUGAAAUCCCGGAGCUCAACUCCGGAACUGCCUUUGAUACUGAAGAUCUUGAGUUCGGGAGAGGUGAGUGGAACUGCGAGUGUAGAGGUGAAAUUCGUAGAUAUUAGGAAGAACACCAGUGGCGAAGGCGGCUCACUGGUCCGGUACUGACGCUGAGGUGCGAAAGCGUGGGGAGGCAAACAGG